This 497-nucleotide ribosomal RNA is filed under the name Sarocladium strictum. RNAcentral's name for it is "partial 28S ribosomal RNA". It matches the Rfam family "Eukaryotic large subunit ribosomal RNA", at positions 93 to 600 of the family's 3401-position model. Lineage: Eukaryota; Fungi; Ascomycota; Sordariomycetes; Hypocreales; Sarocladiaceae. The record is from RNAcentral.
GUGAAGCGGCAACAGCUCAAAUUUGAAAUCUGGCCUCACGGUCCGAGUUGUAAUUUGUAGAGGAUGCUUUUGGCGAGGUGCUUUCCGAGUUCCCUGGAACGGGACGCCAUAGAGGGUGAGAGCCCCGUACGGUAAGACCACCGAGCCUCUGUAAAGCUCCUUCGACGAGUCGAGUAGUUUGGGAAUGCUGCUCUAAAUGGGAGGUGUACGUCUUCUAAAGCUAAAUACCGGCCAGAGACCGAUAGCGCACAAGUAGAGUGAUCGAAAGAUGAAAAGCACUUUGAAAAGAGGGUUAAAAAGUACGUGAAAUUGUUGAAAGGGAAGCAUUCAUGACCAGACUUGGGCUUGGUUGAACAUCCGGCGUUCUCGCCGGUGCACUCUGCCAGUCCAGGCCAGCAUCAGUUUGCCCCGGGGGACAAAGGCGGUGGGAAUGUGGCUCCCCUCGGGGAGUGUUAUAGCCCGCCGUGUAAUGCCCUGGGGCGGACUGAGGAACGCGC